Molecule: ribosomal RNA, 1375 nt
Filed under: Lactiplantibacillus plantarum
Lineage: Bacteria; Bacillati; Bacillota; Bacilli; Lactobacillales; Lactobacillaceae
Description: partial 23S ribosomal RNA
Rfam family: Bacterial large subunit ribosomal RNA
Source: RNAcentral
CUUUUCACUUUAAGGACAAGCUGUGAUGGGGAGCGAAAUUUAGUAGCGAAGCGUCUGAUGUCACACUGCCGAGAAAAGCUUCUAGUGAGUACUUAACUACCCGUACCGCAAACCGACACAGGUAGUCGAGGAGAGAAUCCUAAGGUGAGCGAGUGAACUCUCGUUAAGGAACUCGGCAAAAUGACCCCGUAACUUCGGGAGAAGGGGUGCUGAUCGCAAGAUCAGCCGCAGUGAAUAGGCCCAGGCGACUGUUUAUCAAAAACACAGGUCUCUGCAAAAUCGUAAGAUGACGUAUAGGGGCUGACGCCUGCCCGGUGCUGGAAGGUUAAAAGGAUGGGUUAGCUUCGGCGAAGCUCAGAAUUGAAGCCCCAGUAAACGGCGGCCGUAACUAUAACGGUCCUAAGGUAGCGAAAUUCCUUGUCGGGUAAGUUCCGACCCGCACGAAAGGCGUAACGAUCUGGGCACUGUCUCAACGAGAGACUCGGUGAAAUUAUAUUGUCCGUGAAGAUGCGGACUACCCGCGACAGGACGGAAAGACCCCAUGGAGCUUUACUGUAGCUUGAUAUUGAGUGUUUGUACAGCUUGUACAGGAUAGGUAGGAGCCAUAGAAACCGGAACGCUAGUUUCGGUGGAGGCGUUGGUGGGAUACUACCCUCGCUGUAUGACCACUCUAACCCGCACCACUAAUCGUGGUGGGAGACAGUGUCAGGUGGGCAGUUUGACUGGGGCGGUCGCCUCCUAAAAAGUAACGGAGGCGCCCAAAGGUUCCCUCAGAAUGGUUGGAAAUCAUUCGCAGAGUGUAAAGGCACAAGGGAGCUUGACUGCGAGACAGACAGGUCGAGCAGGGACGAAAGUCGGGCUUAGUGAUCCGGUGGUACCGUAUGGAAGGGCCAUCGCUCAACGGAUAAAAGCUACCCUGGGGAUAACAGGCUUAUCUCCCCCAAGAGUCCACAUCGACGGGGAGGUUUGGCACCUCGAUGUCGGCUCAUCGCAUCCUGGGGCUGUAGUCGGUCCCAAGGGUUGGGCUGUUCGCCCAUUAAAGCGGUACGCGAGCUGGGUUCAGAACGUCGUGAGACAGUUCGGUCCCUAUCCGUCGCGGGCGUAGGAAAUUUGAGAGGACCUGUCCUUAGUACGAGAGGACCGGGAUGGACAUACCUCUGGUGUACCAGUUGUGCCGCCAGGCGCAUCGCUGGGUAGCUACGUAUGGAUGUGAUAAACGCUGAAAGCAUCUAAGUGUGAAACACACCUCGAGAUGAGAUUUCCCAUUCCUUUAUGGAAGUAAGACCCCUGAAAGAUGAUCAGGUAGAUAGGUUAGAAGUGGCAGUGCGGUGACGCAUGAAGCGGACUAAUACUAAUCGGUCGAGGACUUAACCAA